CAGGAUUAACGCUGGCGGCAUGCCUAAUACAUGCAAGUCGAAUGAGAAGCUUGCUUCUCAUGGCGAACGGGUGAGUAACACGUAGGUAACCUGCCUUACACUCGAGGAUAACCGUUGGAAACGACGGAUAAUACUGGAUAGGACAAAGAUUCGCAUGAAUCGUUGUUUAAAAAGCAAUGGUGUAUGAGGGGCCUGCGGUGCAUUAGCUAGUUGGUGAGGUAACGGCUCACCAAGGCGAUGACGCAUAGCUGGACUGAGAGGUUGAACAGCCACAAUGGGACUGAGAACGGCCCAUACUCCUACGGGAGGCAGCAGUAGGGAAUUUUCGGCAAUGGGGGAAACCCUGACCGAGCAAUGCCGCGUGAACGAUGAAGUAUUUCGGUAUGUAAAGUUCUUUUAUUAGGAAAGAUAGUGACGGUACCUAAUGAAUAAGCUCCGGCUAACUACGUGCCAGCCGCAGC
RNAcentral lists this ribosomal RNA (461 nucleotides) under uncultured bacterium. RNAcentral's name for it is "bacterial SSU rRNA". It matches the Rfam family "Bacterial small subunit ribosomal RNA", at positions 25 to 518 of the family's 1533-position model. The record is from RNAcentral.